GACGAACGCUGGCGGCGUGCUUAACACAUGCAAGUCGAGCGAUGAAAUCCCUUCGGGGAUGGAUUAGCGGCGGACGGGUGAGUAACACGUGGGUAACCUGCCUCAAAGAGGGGGAUAGCCUCCCGAAAGGGAGAUUAAUACCGCAUAACAUUAGUUUUUCGCAUGGAGAACUAAUUAAAGGAGUAAUCCGCUUUGAGAUGGACCCGCGGCGCAUUAGCUAGUUGGUGAGGUAACGGCUCACCAAGGCGACGAUGCGUAGCCGACCUGAGAGGGUGAUCGGCCACAUUGGAACUGAGACACGGUCCAGACUCCUACGGGAGGCAGCAGUGGGGAAUAUUGCACAAUGGGCGAAAGCCUGAUGCAGCAACGCCGCGUGAGUGAUGAAGGCCUUCGGGUUGUAAAGCUCUGUCUUUUGGGACGAUAAUGACGGUACCAAAGGAGGAAGCCACGGCUAACUACGUGCCAGCCGCCGCAGUAA
RNAcentral lists this ribosomal RNA (478 nucleotides) under uncultured bacterium. RNAcentral describes it as "partial 16S ribosomal RNA". It matches the Rfam family "Bacterial small subunit ribosomal RNA", at positions 28 to 523 of the family's 1533-position model. The record is from RNAcentral.